UUUCUCCACAGCACCACUCAGUUUGAGGCCAUCUGCAAACGUGCUGCCAGUGCACCUCUAUCUCUCUGCUUGGACACCUCCAGCACAAAUCAUGGAACCACAGAUCUGUUGAGGCUGGAAGAGACCCUUGAGAUCACCAAGUCUCGCCUCAAGCUCACAAUCCCACCACUACUACUAAACCACUACCAUAUCUGGAGGACAACCUUCUGUUAGCUUUCAUAGGAGACUGCAUGGGGCAGGCACAGGGAGGUCUAGGAGUACUGAGAA
Molecule: long non-coding RNA, 267 nt
Organism: Pogoniulus pusillus (Red-fronted tinkerbird)
Lineage: Eukaryota; Metazoa; Chordata; Aves; Piciformes; Lybiidae
Exons: 2
Source: RefSeq, a predicted model, not a curated record